CCUACGGGUGACUGCAGUGAGGAAUAUUGGUCAAUGGGCGAGAGCCUGAACCAGCCAAGUCGCGUGAGGGAAGACGGUCCUAUGGAUUGUAAACCUCUUUUGUCGGGGAGCAAAAAGGCCUCGUGAGGCCACAAGUGAGAGUACCCGAAGAAAAAGCAUCGGCUAACUCCGUGCCAGCAGCCGCGGUAAUACGGAGGAUGCGAGCGUUAUCCGGAUUUAUUGGGUUUAAAGGGUGCGUAGGCGGGAUGCCAAGUCAGCGGUAAAAAUGCGGUGCUCAACGCCGUCGAGCCGUUGAAACUGGCGUUCUUGAGUGGGCGAGAAGUAUGCGGAAUGCGUGGUGUAGCGGUGAAAUGCAUAGAUAUCACGCAGAACUCCGAUUGCGAAGGCAGCAUACCGGCGCCCUACUGACGCUGAGGCACGAAAGCGUGGGUAUCGAACAGGAUUAGAUACCCCAGUAGUC
This 460-nucleotide ribosomal RNA is filed under the name uncultured bacterium. RNAcentral describes it as "partial 16S ribosomal RNA". It matches the Rfam family "Bacterial small subunit ribosomal RNA", at positions 338 to 795 of the family's 1533-position model. The record is from RNAcentral.